UACAGAGGUCUCAAGCGUUGUUCGGAUUCAUUGGGCGUAAAGGGUGUGUAGGUGGCGCGCUAAGUCGGGUGUGAAAUUUUGGAGCUUAACUCCGAAACUGCAUUCGAUACUGGCGUGCUUGAGGACUGGAGAGGAGACUGGAAUUCAUGGUGUAGCAGUGAAAUGCGUAGAGAUCAUGAGGAAGACCAGUGGCGAAGGCGGGUCUCUGGACAGUUCCUGACACUGAGACACGAAGGCCAGGGGAGCAAACGGG
This 253-nucleotide ribosomal RNA is filed under the name uncultured bacterium. RNAcentral's name for it is "partial 16S ribosomal RNA". It matches the Rfam family "Bacterial small subunit ribosomal RNA", at positions 524 to 776 of the family's 1533-position model. The record is from RNAcentral.